This is a long non-coding RNA of Dreissena polymorpha, 3824 nucleotides long. RefSeq lists it as uncharacterized. The transcript has 4 exons. The record is from RefSeq and is a predicted model, not a curated record. NCBI's taxonomy places the organism in Eukaryota, Metazoa, Mollusca, Bivalvia, Myida, Dreissenidae.
GCAGCAGUGGAACAACCUGGCGUCCCAGGGGUCUAACAAUAUAACAACGGUCACCGAUAAUUGUCUGGUGGAGUUCAGCUUCAGAUGUUGCCAAAUCAGCGCUUCUCGUUCAGCAAGCCCACAGUAUCCAAGCAACAAAGCCAUCCGCACAGCAACAUCAACUACAACAACAACAGUCCGCGGUUUGUGGGUCCCAGGGCAGUGGUGCUGACCCGCUUCUCAUCUUGCCAUGCGACUCCCUGGUCAACAGCAGCACACCCCGCCUUACAGUGUGGAAUCAAUGGAGUCAAAAUCUGCUGCCCCAUCCUUGUAGUCAUCCAAGUAUUGGCUUGGGGGUGAAGCUCAGGUUCAAGGUCAUUGCGAUACGCGGAUGUUUGACAGGUCCAUUAUGUGAAACACAGCCACUUUCCAGCUGAGAGGCCCAUGAUGGAGAUACCAAAAAACACCAAGAUACCAAGCCACAGUCUUGCUACCACGCCCCGUGUCCACCCCACCCAGAAGUCAGACCCCUGCGUCUUCAACCAUGCCACGUAACCACAGGGGCGUUAACUAAGACUUGAACCAAGACAUGGACUUUAACCGCGAGACAGUUUGGGAGGUCCUGAUCCAAUACUUCUGGUUCACAACUUUUCAGGAGUGACGGUACCCUCUGCCAGAUUAUCUUGGGGCGUCCUUAUCUUCAAAUCAGCCCCCUGUGUCCACUCUGGUCUCAUGGGAAUGUAUUUGAAUCUCCAGUAGAGCUACCAAAACCAACAAAGCAACUACCCACAGCCAAACUUGCUAGUUUACCCUAAACAUUUAACACAGCAGGGAAAUAAAAUACUUAUGCAAAAGGCCAAACCAUGCCUCAGCCAAAUGGCAGCAGCAAAAAACUAUUAUCUGGGGCAGUCAGGUUUGCCGCAAAAUGAGACCAAAAUGUUUGGCACCCCAGCAACAUCACAAGGUUACGUAAAAUAUUUAGAUUGUUCAAGAACAAACCCUGAACCCACCUUUCGGAGCAGGAAAUUUUAGCGAGGAACGAUUAUGGUGGAUAUCAAAUCUGGCUCAGACAAAAUAAACAACCUCAGGCACACCAACAGUUUUCAACGCUGUAACCUUAAGCUAGUGUAGCAGACGAGAAGAAAUGCUGACUAGAAGUUUGUAAGACAGUUGUUGGACAGUGAGGAAAGUGGACAGGAUUUAGCUAUAAGACAAGUUAGGAAAACCACGGUGAAAGAAAUCACGUUAUACCUGUAUAAGCUAAAGUUGAAGCCAUUAAUAGUGGAUGUUGUCGCUCCUAGGGAUUGUACAGAAGAAAUGCAAGAUGAUGCUUUUGUUUUUCAAUGAAGGGUUAUAGGUUCAUGAACAUGUAUCAAGCCAAAACUCUAUUUGUAUAAUGCCUACGAGCCUGGGAAAGCGUGGCUUAUUGCAUGUGUGUUAAGUGGCAGUCCGCAAAGACUAACCAGGGACGAUAUUUUACGUCCAGACUAGAUUCCCUGUUUGGAAAAGACUACAUUUAAACAAAAUUUCCUUAAAAGCAGAGAAUGUCGUCACUGAUUAGGACUGCAUUGGUUACCUGGCACUUUACUCACAUGCAUUCAGCACAGUUUUCCCAGAGACAGGCUCGUCCUAUAUUGAACAGUUAAGAUUGACAUUGAUUCAUUCAUGCAGUGGCUGCUUGAUCAAGCUAGUCCAAAAUCUUAAUAUUAUUCAUUCAGACCAAGACAUUUUUACAGCCCGCCAGUACUAAGAUGGAUUGAAUAUAAAUUAACUGGUUCAGGGCAUUUGGAUUGUACUACAUUUUGUUUAGUUUUUAGGUGAUAACACCUGAUUUAGUAUCCACUAUUAAAUAAUUGUUUUAGACAUUGUUCUGCACUCAUCAAAGUAUUUUUGUUUUGAUGUAAUAUACAAUGUUAUAAUAUUAAAAUGGCCAAGAUGCAAAUACAACAAGUCAGAUUAUGUUGCAAACAUGCAUUAUUCUGAGUAAGAGUUGAAAAUCAUGAAGUUGUCCUAGAUUUUUUUUUAAUCCAGUGCUUUCCACAGACCAUUUAACAGUAACUUGUGUGGGGUGGGCUUGAAUGUGGACAUCAGAGUCCCUGUGACGUUUGAAAUUUUCCAAUCAAUGUAUUUUUUCAGUAACUGCAACUAGCCUUUUUGGGGAUUAUGCAAAGUUUGCAAAUCCUUGCCGUCUCAUGUAUACAUUUGUUGCUAGAUUACGUAGUUUCUGAUCGAUAUCAAUAAUUGUAGAUAUAGUGUUACCUUUUGUUUAAUUCUUAGAUGAUAAAAAAAAGUUCACGUUCAUGAACAUUUUGUUUGCAGUUUGUUUUUGUUUACUUUUUUCAGGAUAAUGGCAUAUUUAUUUAGUAUACCACUGUGCCAAAAUGUCCACUUGUUAUGUUCAUCGUUGUUUAUAAAUAUACUUGCUAAUGUGCAAUGCAUUGUUAACAGUUAAGUUGGCAGACAAAAGUGUUCAGAUGUCUCAAAUUGCCGACUUUAAAUGUAACAAUAUUAAAUAGUGAUUAUAGGCAAUUAAUUUGUUCUCCAAAUGUCAGAGGAAUAUUCUGUUUGGAAGAUAGGAUACAGUCAUAAGAAAGUGUAUUUAUAUCAUGCAUUGAAAAUUUCAAUGAAAUUGUUUCAUUUGUUGAAGUUAUGUGUAGUUGUUAUUGAACUUGUGUUCCAUGUAUUAUUUCACUCAUGUGAAUAAUCAUAGUAAUAACAAAUACUUAUGUGCGCUAUACUAUUUUAUGAUGUUACUACGUUGGUGGCUCAAGUGAGACUGGCUUAUCAGCUCACUGUACAGUGUAAUAGUCAGGUUAUUCAAGCAUGCAGCUAUCUAUAGUCUGUAUCUAGUUACACUUUGCAACAGUAAUAUUGAACAUUCAUAUUCACAAAAUACAUUUCAUAAGGGACUAACUUAUUAAAUGUAUAGUUAGUUUACGUUUAAAAACCCCAUCUAAAGUCUGAAAUUGGGAAAGUAUUGAAUACAGUUUCGUGAAUAAUGGCAAUAUGAACAAUUGAAAUAAUUGUAAGCUAGUUAUCAAUGUUAUUGAAUUGUAUCAUACAUGUAGAUAAAUCUGUAAUUUAUACAUUUUCUGGCCAAUAUGUAUCUGUGCUUUUAAUUAUUUCUUGUUAUUGGUUUUAUAUUUGUUAGUUUUACAGAUCAUGUUGUGAAUAAAAUGUAAAUAUAAUUUUAUUUUAAACCGAUUAAAUUGUAUUGUUUGCAUUUUAUGAAAUGUAGGACAUUUCUUCAUCUCUAUAUUAAACAAUGUUGAGUUCUUCUCUCCACUUUUUAAUUAAAACACAUAGUUGUAAAGUUAUCAAGAACAACAGAUAAAAAAACUGUUGAGAUUUAGAGACGAUUAGUUUGUCCAAAAAGCUGCAUUCUGUGAUUUGAAAAAAGUACUGAGGAUACUAUACAAAAAUACUGAAGAUACUUUGAUGAAACUUGUUAUACUGAGUGCAAAGUGAGGAGUAAAGAAUGAUCCAAUUUUGUUUACACCUGCCCAUAAACAAAUGAGCCUUGCUCUGGGAAAAUGUAGCUAAAUGCAUAAAGUGUCGUCCAUGAAAAGCAUGUGUCAGAGACGACACUUUCAGUCUAAACUGAAUUUUAGUAUAGAAGAGAAUUCCAUAAAGGCGGCAAGUGUCAUCCCUGCACAGGCUAAUCUGGGACCACACUUUACGCAAUGCAUAAGGCCCCGUUUUCCCAGAGUGUGCUUCUUUCAUUAUUGCUAUAGAAGCUAUUUCCAUAUAGUUACAAUUUUAAACACAUUUUUUAUAUUAUUUAUCUAUUAAAAUUAUCUACGUUUAAAUUAUCUAAUCAUCAAUAAAAACACAUUAUGUUCAUG